CUUCCUAGUUACUAUUAAAAGGAUACCUAUUGAAUUACUUUUGCAAAUUGAAUUUCAGAUCUUCCGAUUCAUCUCCUGUUGAGGCAGGGCGUAGAGUACACCAAGGCCCAGAGAGAUUUUGCCCUUACGCUCCAUCUGCAUGGUCCAAAGGCAUAUCAAUACCUGAGAGAGACCCUGCAUAUUCACCUGCCACAUCCCAGUUCAUUGCAAAGCCCUCCCUGAACCCCGAAGGGAACGUGACCGGGUCUGAUGUGGUGCUGCUGAACCGCUGGAGUGUGAGGACACCGAUAAGCAUGUGAACUUUGCUAAUCAGAAGAUUAAGGUCUCCCUGGCUGCUCAGACUUUGAGUAGCUCUGUGGCAGUGGCGCUCCGCACGUUGCAGGAGUUGGGCUAUGCAGAGUUCAAGGAUUGUGAGGCUACUUCGGAAUUCAUUAAGGUUCCUCUCUGUCCUGGGCUUCAUCAUAAACAUUGACACAUUGAUGUCGAUGGUUCCUGUGCUGCUUGAAGGACAGCGAUAUGUCCUGACUUAAAGGUUCAGCCAGGACCACUUGGAGCUUCUCUUCAACUCCAUCAAAGCAUCUGGUAGGGUUCAUAAUUUAUA
Esox lucius (northern pike) is the source of this 601-nucleotide long non-coding RNA. RefSeq lists it as uncharacterized. Lineage: Eukaryota; Metazoa; Chordata; Actinopteri; Esociformes; Esocidae. The record is from RefSeq and is a predicted model, not a curated record. The transcript has 4 exons.